CCUACGGGUGACAGCAGUGAGGAAUAUUGGUCAAUGGGCUUACGCCUGAACCAGCCAAGUCGCGUGAGGGAAGACUGUCCUAUGGGUUGUAAACCUCUUUUGUCAGGGAGCAAUUGGCGCUACGUGUAGCGUUCUCGAGAGUACCUGAAGAAAAAGCAUCGGCUAACUCCGUGCCAGCAGCCGCGGUAAUACGGAGGAUGCGAGCGUUAUCCGGAUUGAUUGGGUUUAAAGGGUGCGUAGGCGGAAUGCCAAGUCAGCGGUAAAAUCGCGGGGCUCAACCUCGCUCCGCCGUUGAAACUGGCGUUCUUGAGUGGGCGAGAAGUAUGCGGAAUGCGUGGUGUAGCGGUGAAAUGCAUAGAUAUCACGCAGAACUCCGAUUGCGAAGGCAGCAUACCGGCGCCCAACUGACGCUGAAGCACGAAAGCGUGGGUAUCGAACAGGAUUAGAUACCCGUGUAGUC
This 460-nucleotide ribosomal RNA is filed under the name uncultured bacterium. Its description in RNAcentral is "partial 16S ribosomal RNA". It matches the Rfam family "Bacterial small subunit ribosomal RNA", at positions 338 to 795 of the family's 1533-position model. The record is from RNAcentral.